GUGGCGGGGCCCCGUCUGGCUCUGCACUGGGAGAAGCGCGUCUUGGCCCGGUGGUGGCCGGUGGCUCAAGGGCGCGCGUGGACAAGCGCUUCUCUGUUCCCCGUGUUAGCAGGAGGUGUCGCGGGUGUGGGCUCUACCUGGAUGUUGUGUCUGCCCGCGACACGGAGGGGCUGGAUUUGUUUCUCAGGCCAUCCUGUAUUUUAAUUUUAGAUGUACUUCCUGAAGCAUAUUUUUCAUAGGAUGUAGCGGGUAAAUAGCUUUUUAAAUGACUUCUUUUUUAUAAGAGCAAAAGUAUCUUUAGGAAUUUCUUUCUAUAGAGUCCUUCAUUAACCUUUAUACGAGUUUUUUGCUGACUCGAAUGGACAGCUGGGUUCCAGUGCUUUUUCCUUUUCCUUCUUUUCUUUUGUUGUUAUCUUACUCUUAUUUUCCUUUUAGGAACUAAGGUAUUGCCUGAAAAACAAGUGGCGUCUGCGCAGCCUUAUACUCUGUCUUCACAGAAGCCAAUAGGACACAAAAGAUCCAUUUCAGACACAUUUUGAAGACGAACCUUCAACUUUCAUACCAGCUCUUUGUUUUCCUUCUUGUAUGACGAGGGGGUUGGGGAUACAGUUAUUUUACUAGCACCUUGUGAAGUGUUUCUGUGUUUUGUGAUGCCGUAAUUUAUUAAUGUUGGUAGCUUUUUAUAUUUGUACAUUUCUUACGAGCUUUCUUUAUAUACCCAUUACCUGGAUGUUCUGUCCACGCGGAGAGGCAGCUGGGCAGAGGCCUUAUCCACUCCCGCUGCUGUUAGUAGGGGCUCGGUCCCCGGGCCCGAGGCCGGCAGAGGGGGAGUCUCCCGGGUCCCAGGCUUAUUCGGAACUGGGGUUUUUAAAAUCCCUUGGCCUGUCCUUGUCAAGCAUUUCUAUAAUCUAACCCGGGCAGCAAGUUCUUCUCUCUCUUUCUCUCCCUCUCUCUUCUCUCUUUUUAAUUUUAUUAUUAUUUUGGCAACAUGUAUAAUUCUAACAAAGUUUAUCACGGCUAUUAAAGUGUUUUAUUUCCCAGUUCAUAUUACUCUUGUAUCGAGUCCGUCAGGUCUAAGGCAACUUAGACCAAAGUUUUAAAAAAGUAAAAAUAUUUCAGGUUUUGUACAGAAAAAAAA
This 1138-nucleotide long non-coding RNA is filed under the name Heterocephalus glaber (naked mole-rat). RNAcentral describes it as "lncRNA (ENSHGLG00000040340.1)". Lineage: Eukaryota; Metazoa; Chordata; Mammalia; Rodentia; Bathyergidae. The record is from RNAcentral.